Long non-coding RNA from Panicum hallii, 1734 nucleotides. RefSeq lists it as uncharacterized. Lineage: Eukaryota; Viridiplantae; Streptophyta; Magnoliopsida; Poales; Poaceae. The transcript is spliced from 3 exons. The record is from RefSeq and is a predicted model, not a curated record.
UUUUUAUGCCCCACCUAAACCUCCCUCAAUCGUAGACAGAAUCAGGGAAAAAAUACGCCCCCCGUUUCCGUCCUCGCGCCGUGGCGCCAACAUUUCGUGGUUGUUUUUUUUGUUGGCGCGCACCUCCGCAGGUUUGCCGUCUCUCCCUCCGCUGGCGUCGCCUUCACAUCGCCCCUCCCGUGCUGCAUCUGUCUCCCGCCGCUCCAUCCUCGGCUCUGCUGCCACAACCUCCUCGGCUCCUCCGCCGCUCCAUACUCGGACGGAUGCACUCGAUUCCCCGAGACCUUGUGCUGGCAAGACCUAGCAGGCUAGGGUACGGGCCGCCGUCGCCCGCCGCAUGUAGGGGCCUGAUGAGGACGCGGCUGGCCGGCUGCUGCUGCCUGUGGUGAUCAUCUCCUGCUCCAUCUUCUUCCUCGUCGUCGCCUUGGUGCCAAGAUUCGUCACUGUUGAAUCGGGUUGCUAUGGUGCCAAGAGUCGCCGACCAGCAGAUCCCCACGCUCCGUCUCCCGCUCUGUUAGUCAGGCACUUGUGAGAAUGGCUGGAGACAGCACGUUUAUGAGCUUGUUGAAUGAGACUCCGGGCAACAAUGGACAGGAGUGGAAUGGUUUAGGUAGCCCUCCUGAGGAGCAGCAGGACACACCCUUUUACACAACUCCCAGCACCCAAGGAAGCAAGAAAGCAAGAAACAAGAAUUUGUUCUUUUUGUGAGUCUGAAGAUGUAGUACUUGCCAGGGCUUGGUUGGGCACAAGUACUGAUGCAAUUCCAGGCACAAAUCAGAAAAAAAGUGCUUUUUGGACUAGGGUUCAUAAUUUCUACCAUUUGGAGAAGGAAAUCAUAGUACAUCGUAGCUCAAAUUCUCGUAGCUCAAAUUCUCUAUCUCAUCGUUGGAGCACUAUUCAAGAGUCUGUCAAUAAGUUUUGUGGAUGUUUUACUGCUAUUGAGGGCAGAAAUCAAAGUGGGAAGACUUUUGAAAACAAGCUUAUGGAUGCAUGCGUCUUAUAAAAGGAAGAAGAUAAAGAAAAGAAGUCUUUUCAGCUCUUGCACUGCUGGAAUAUUUUACGCCAUGAACCAAAGUGGCAUCAGAAGAUGAGUCAAAUGGCAAAAAUUAAAUGUUCUCAAAAGAAAAACAAGGCUCCUGAUGAUUCUAUAUUGGAUUUAACUGGAAACGAAAAUGAUGAUUUGCCCAAUGCUAGUAACAAUGAUAUUGCAACUCCAGAAGGUGAUGCACCUAAGCGGCCAAUGGGUAGGAAGAAGGCUAAACAACUUUUACGUCGAGGUGGGGGUGAUGCAUGCAUUGAAGCAUUAGAUCAAAUGUGGGAAAAGAAGAAGAAGGCCGAUGCAAAGAAAGAAGCGAAGAAGGAGGAAAGGUUUAACAAAGCAUUAGAAAUUGAAAUAGAGAAGCUUCGAUUAGAGCAAGUGAGGGCUGCAAGUGAGCAAGACCGGGCGAGCUUGAAGAGAAUGAUAGAAGAAGAAAGAAUCAUGACAAUGGACACCAGUGGCAUGACUGUUCAGUAGCAACGUUAUUACGAGAGCCUUCGUUCCGAUAUAACUACUCGGCGAGGGAUAAAUCUUACUUGAGUACUCAUUUUUGCUUCUGCAGUACCAAGGCAUAGCAGUACCAAGGAAUAAAUCUUAUCUUUUAGAUCAGUUUGCACUCAUAUUUGUUUCUGUAUUACAUGAACCAUAAUCAAUUAAAUCCAAUAAGCAGAGGUACUAUCACUUUAUUACAUGGA